UCAGGCCUAACACAUGCAAGUCGAGCGGAUGAAAGGAGCUUGCUCCUGGAUUCAGCGGCGGACGGGUGAGUAAUGCCUAGGAAUCUGCCUGGUAGUGGGGGACAACGUUUCGAAAGGAACGCUAAUACCGCAUACGUCCUACGGGAGAAAGCAGGGGACCUUCGGGCCUUGCGCUAUCAGAUGAGCCUAGGUCGGAUUAGCUAGUUGGUGAGGUAAUGGCUCACCAAGGCGACGAUCCGUAACUGGUCUGAGAGGAUGAUCAGUCACACUGGAACUGAGACACGGUCCAGACUCCUACGGGAGGCAGCAGUGGGGAAUAUUGGACAAUGGGCGAAAGCCUGAUCCAGCCAUGCCGCGUGUGUGAAGAAGGUCUUCGGAUUGUAAAGCACUUUAAGUUGGGAGGAAGGGUUGUAGAUUAAUACUCUGCAAUUUGACGUACCGAC
RNAcentral lists this ribosomal RNA (443 nucleotides) under Pseudomonas koreensis. RNAcentral's name for it is "bacterial SSU rRNA". It matches the Rfam family "Bacterial small subunit ribosomal RNA", at positions 42 to 482 of the family's 1533-position model. The record is from RNAcentral. Lineage: Bacteria; Pseudomonadati; Pseudomonadota; Gammaproteobacteria; Pseudomonadales; Pseudomonadaceae.